UUUUUACUCUAAAAUAGAGUAAGCCAUUGGAGAUGGUCUUAAUGGUGUAAUGUUUUAACUGAAAACGUCUUCUAAAUCAUAAAAUCAAUUUGUCUAAAUAUUUUAUCUUAUAAUGCAACAACAACAAUGUUUGCUAAAAAAAAAAAAAAAAAUGCAACAACUACAGAUGAUAAAGAAAGGUUUUGAUGAUAAACCCCACUAAACGACAUUAGAACGUGUUAGAUAGAGAUGAUAACCCAUCAAGGAAAGUUUUAUUCACGCGCUUAUAUUUUUAAAUAGUCCGCGGAGAUAGUUGAAUAUUAUUAGGUGGUUACGUUACAUAAUAUUUGGCGCGUGGCGAAAGAAGCUUGUUGAGCUUUGUUGUAUGCGACCGAGUCAUCGUCGUCGUGCUCGCCCUCUCUCUCUCUCUUCUUGUUCAAGAGGAAGAAAGAAAACUUCUUGGAAAAAACUCGGAUCUCUCUUAUCAAUCACUCUUUUAUUCGGGAGCAACGUGAACAUGGCGUCUGUUUCUGCUUUGGCAAAGUUCAAGUUGGUGUUCUUAGGAGAUCAAUCUGUGGGCAAAACAAGCAUCAUCACCCGUUUCAUGUAUGAUAAAUUCGACACCUCUUACCAGCCUACCAUUGGGAUCGAUUUUCUGUCCAAAACAAUGUACCUCGAAGAUCGAACUGUUCGCUUGCAGCUUUGGGAUACGGCGGGACAAGAAAGAUUCAGGAGUCUGAUCCCAAGUUACAUCAGAGACUCUUCUGUUGCAAUUGUUGUGUAUGAUGUAGCCAAUAGGCAAACGUUUCUGAAUAUUCCGAAAUGGAUCGAUGAUGUACACAGAGAAAGAGGUGGUUCAGGCGACGUUAUUAUUGUCCUUGUUGGUAACAAAACUGAUCUUGUUGAUAAAAGACAAGUAUCGAUCAGUGAAGGGGAAGAAAAGGGUAAAGAGCAUGGAGUGAUGUUCAUUGAGACCAGCGCCAAAGAAAAUUUCAACAUUAAGGCUUUGUUCAGGAAGAUAGCUGCAGCACUGCCUGGGAUGGAUUCAUAUUCGUCGGCGACAAAAUCAGACAAUAUGGUUGAUGUGAACCUAAAGAACACUUCAAGUUCAUCACAAGGUGAGCAACAAGGAGGAGGUGGUGGAGGCGGCUGUUCUUGUUGAUUUCAUAAAUUUAAUUAAAAGAAAAAACAUAUUCCGUUUAAGACACUUGUGAAGCCAGAAAAAAAAAACAAACAAAAAGGAUCAAGAAAGUUUUUUCUUUUGUGAUUUUUCAUUUUUUCUAUCUUAUACAUACAUUAUAUCAUAUUACAAACUAUAGAAUAUGAUGAUGGAACUCCAGAGAAAGGAAUUAAUAGGGGAGCUUUUGAGGAAUAUAUAGAACUUACUAGACACUUAGGGUCUGACUGGUGACCAUUUGAGAAACAAGAGGAACGGAUUAAAAAGGAAUGUUCGGGAAUAAAAUAGCAGGAAUGAAAAGAAAUGGUUGUUCCUUAUCACUUUUAACAAGAAAUACUUUUGUUCUUUAAUUCUCUACAAAAAAAAGAAUGAAAGGGAAUGAGAGGGAAUUAUUAUUCCUUCUGAAUGGUGAUUUUUUUCAGGAACGUUAGGGAAUGCAUUAUUCCUCGCCGUUCCCUGGUCACCAUUCAUACCCUUAGAUUUGACACUGGCGACAACUUCGUCAUGAUAUAACAAUACACAAUUCCUUCGCAGCAGGUACAUAUCUAAUGUAUUAAAACAGAAGUACAAAUUAAGACUAACCCUUAAAUUUGCACAAUAUUUACAAUCUAAUACCAUUGAAAUAAUUAAAUGAAUCUAUCUUUAAGUAAUAUUUAUCUUUUCUAAAAUUAAUGAAGUAAUAAUUACUCCUACUUCUAUGCUUUCCAUGUCUUUUUCAAAUUAAUAAAAUAUUUCCUAAAUAAAAUUCAUAAUCAAUUCAAUAUAAUUUUUUUAACUUAUCUAUUUCACAUUAACAUUAUAAACAUCAGUGAAUAUAAAAAAUAUACACAAAAUAUUUAUCUAACAAUAUAAGUUAUAUUUUGCCUCAUUCUCCCCCACAAAUCACGUUACUCUUUAUUUUUUUUGAACAAAUUCUUCUUCUUACCGAUAUAAAUAGAUCACAUGCACCAUUAUAUUAUUUACCAACUUACCAUGUAUAUAAAAGAAUUUAUUAGACAUUAUCGUAAAAUUUUGAUCUACAAAAAAAUAAAAUAAAACAUUUGCAUAGAUGCACGAAUUAUAUUUUAAAAAUGGUGGUAAUACAAUUGACGGUUUACAAAACAUAAUAAAAUUAAAAAAAAAACUAGAAAAUUAUUAUGCUUAUAAAUGUUAUUAAAUAAUUAUUUAACAUAGGUAAAAUUUUAAAAUAUAUACUAUCACUUAUUAAAAAUAAUUUAUUUACAAAAGUAAAAGCAAACAUCCGCAAAGUCAUGGUUUAAAUGUACAUAAACUUAAGUCUAUUUAUAAUUUCUUAUCAGUUACAUCAAAUUUAUAUUUUCAUUUUAUUUUCUUACAAAUUUAAAUCUUAAUUUGUAUAUGUUCCAAAUUUGAUAGAAGUUUAACAAUAAUUUUAUUUACUUACAAAUAUUAUAGCUAAUGUAUCAUUUAUAAAUAGUUUGCUAAUUCACAAUUGUCUAUUUUCGUACUUUUUAUUUAAAAACUUUUUUCGCUAUAUAUCUUAGUCAUUGCUAAUUCACAAUUGUCUAUUUUCGUACUUUUUAUUUAAAAACUUUUUUCGCUAUAUAUCUUAGUCAUGGAUCUAAUUAUAUAAAUGUUAUAUGUUUAUAUAAUACCCAAUAUUGGUGAUACAUUUUACAAUAAAAUGCUAAAAUAUAAAAUUAAGUACAAAUAUAGCAUUUACAUUUACAUUUACAAAUAUGACUACAUUUAUAAAUAUAUCAUUAAAUACAAACACAAAUUAAAUAUUCGCGCGGUCUCUCGGGUCAAGUUCUAGUAGUUAUUAAGGCCGAUGUCAGAAUGUAACUGAUUAAUAGAGUAAAGAUCAAUGCAACCAAAUUCUAUCACAUGAAUUUUGAAAAUCUCAUCGAUAGAUAUGAUAAUUUGAAAGUUGAGUCUUAUGAGUUAAAUGAAUAAAAUUUAUCUCUUAAUAACAGAAGAUUUAGUUAGAAGAAAAAAAUCAAUAAUAACUAAACUUUUUGAAUAACAAAGAAUUUGAAUGGAUUUUAAAAAUUCUUACACCAAUAAUAAUGGAAUUUCAAAAUUUUCAAAGUUCAUUAGAAUUCAUUUACCAAUAAACCCGUAACAAUAAUAACUAAAGUUUUUUAAUAACAAAAAUUUUGAAUGGAUUUUAAAAAUUCUUAAACUAAUAACAAUGGAAUUUCAAAAAAUUUAAAAUUCAUUAGAAUUCAUUUACCAAUAAACCGGUAAAUAAAAUUAGUCUCCCUCCACCCUCAAUAAUUAUCACAGUGUUUGAUUUUUGUAUGAUAUAUUUCCUUAUAAAAAUAGUCAAAUUCAAAUCGUUAGAAUCAAUUUUUUUACCAAAUUUAUUAAGAAGAAUAAGUUUGUUCAACGUAUCCUUUUGAUUUUUUUAUGAACUUACAUCACCAUUUUAACUAUAUAAAGGCCUAUUAGCUCUCUCAACAGAAUCCAACAACACCAAAACAUAAGAAUAUUCACAAACACUUUUAUCUAUACUAAUACUUCAGAAACACCAAAAAUGAACAAGAUCAAAUCCUUACUUUUUGUUAGCACCAUCACAGUAUUUAUGUUAUUGGCCAUAACAGAACAAAGCGCGGCCGAUGCUGAUCUCUCAUGUUUUGGGCCAUGUCCUGCUGAUUGCAAACAAUUUUGCUUGUCGAAAGGUUAUGGUGACGGGUUAUGUGAAGAUUUUAGAGGCAAGCAGGAUUGUUGCUGCACACCAGCAAAAAAACAAAUCUUUGAGAAAACAACGCAAUUGAACAACUAAAUGCAUUUUUGACAUUGUCUUUAAUGUGUAUGAUCAAUAUAUUAAGAAAAUCCCAAUAUAAGAAAUAUUUUUUAAGAAAUUA
Molecule: RNA transcript, 3984 nt
Organism: Brassica rapa (field mustard)
Lineage: Eukaryota; Viridiplantae; Streptophyta; Magnoliopsida; Brassicales; Brassicaceae
Gene name: ras-related protein RABH1c
Source: RefSeq, a predicted model, not a curated record